UACGUAUGGUGCAAGCGUUAUCCGGAUUUACUGGGUGUAAAGGGAGCGCAGGCGGCGCGUUAAGCCUGGUGUGAAAGCCCGCGGCCCAACCGCGGGACUGCAUUGGGAACUGGCGCGCUGGAGUGCCGGAGGGGCAGGCGGAAUUCCUAGUGUAGCGGUGAAAUGCGUAGAUAUUAGGAGGAACACCAGUGGCGAAGGCGGCCUACUGGACGGUGACUGACGCUGAGGCUCGAAAGCGUGGGGAGCAAACAGG
This 253-nucleotide ribosomal RNA is filed under the name uncultured bacterium. Its description in RNAcentral is "partial 16S ribosomal RNA". It matches the Rfam family "Bacterial small subunit ribosomal RNA", at positions 524 to 776 of the family's 1533-position model. The record is from RNAcentral.